This is a non-coding RNA of Schistosoma curassoni, 46 nucleotides long. The record is from Rfam. Lineage: Eukaryota; Metazoa; Platyhelminthes; Trematoda; Strigeidida; Schistosomatidae.
GCACUGCUGAGGAGUCCCAUACUAGGACGAAACGGCCGUCCAGUAC